UUUUGUUUUGUUUUUUAAUUUUAUUUUAAGACUUCAAAGACAUUCAUGGAUCACAUGCGCCGUACACACAACGCCCCAUAUCGUUCCACGAGCUAUGCAUUCGAUAGUGUAUGGGCGGCAGCGCUACUAUAUCAGAGAAGUUUAUCUUAUCCAGAUUAUCGUCCAGAGAAUGUGAAGUUUCGAAGUCGUGAUGUCAGAGAGCUAUACGCCU
Paramuricea clavata is the source of this 211-nucleotide non-coding RNA. The record is from the annotation of a GenBank genome assembly. NCBI's taxonomy places the organism in Eukaryota, Metazoa, Cnidaria, Anthozoa, Malacalcyonacea, Plexauridae.